This 282-nucleotide ribosomal RNA is filed under the name uncultured bacterium. Its description in RNAcentral is "partial 16S ribosomal RNA". It matches the Rfam family "Bacterial small subunit ribosomal RNA", at positions 335 to 634 of the family's 1533-position model. The record is from RNAcentral.
UGGCCUACGGGAGGCAGCAGUGGGGGAUAUUGCACAAUGGGGGGAACCCUGAUGCAGCGACGCCGCGUGGGUGAAGGAGCGUUUCGGCGCGUAAAGCCCUAUCGGCAGGGAAGAAGAUGACGGUACCUGACCAAGAAGCCCCGGCUAACUACGUGCCAGCAGCCGCGGUAAUACGUAGGGGGCAAGCGUUAUCCGGAUUCACUGGGGGUAAAGGGAGCGUAGACGGCCAUGCAAGCCUGGAGUGAAAGCCCGGGGCCCAACCCCGGGACUGCUCUGGGGACU